Orbicella faveolata is the source of this 600-nucleotide long non-coding RNA. The record is from RefSeq and is a predicted model, not a curated record. NCBI's taxonomy places the organism in Eukaryota, Metazoa, Cnidaria, Anthozoa, Scleractinia, Merulinidae.
AACAGGCUAGCCUGAGUGCUAUUCAGGUUAACUGGAGUGCAGACUUUCUCUGCAAUUAGCCUGUUGAAUAAUCCUGUUUAUAGUCAGCACUUGAUAAUGGAAAUAACAGGAUAUAUAUAGAUUACAUAUGUUUACUUCGAAAGUCCCCAGUCUGCAGUCUGCAUUUUACAUUGACCGGUUUAGAUUCCUGUCCUGAUAAUAAAGGUGUCCACUUUUAAUUAUAAUUGGUAAACUAAUAGAGUGGGUGUCUGUAAAGAUAUAGGUUUGAUCGAGUGUCACAGGAUCUAUUUUUGUAACAAUGAUGUCCAUCACUCUCUAAACUUAACUUGUGUAACUUGUUAGGGCUCACCAAGCUCAGAGAGCAGGACAGAAGUGACAGACACUGGUUCAUUAUACAAGACUCCAACCUCUUAUUUUAUGAUCAAAGAAGCAGUCAGACUCCACCAGAAACCAAACCAACAGGAUUUGUAGACGUUGCUUCAUCAGUGCUGGAAGUUUUUGUUGUUAUUUCAAGGUAAAAUUUGAAAAUAUAUAUGUAUUAAUCAUUGGUAUAUAAUUACACUAUCUUGGGGGCUUGGUGACCUUAUGGUUCUUGUGCUA